CUCGUAGGUGGCCAACUAAGUCAGACGUGAAAUCCCUCGGCUUAACCGGGGAACUGCGUCUGAUACUGGAUGGCUUGAGGUUGGGAGAGGGAUGCGGAAUUCCAGGUGUAGCGGUGAAAUGCGUAGAUAUCUGGAGGAACACCGGUGGCGAAGGCGGCAUCCUGGACCAAUUCUGACGCUGAGGAGCGAAAGCCAGGGGAGCAAACGGGAUUAGAUACCCCGGUAGUCCUGGCCCUAAACGAUGAAUGCUUGGUGUGGCGGGUAUCGAUCCCUGCCGUGCCGAAGCUAACGCAUUAAGCAUUCCGCCUGGGGAGUACGGUCGCAAGGCUGAA
This 332-nucleotide ribosomal RNA is filed under the name uncultured bacterium. RNAcentral describes it as "bacterial SSU rRNA". It matches the Rfam family "Bacterial small subunit ribosomal RNA", at positions 568 to 898 of the family's 1533-position model. The record is from RNAcentral.